This 329-nucleotide ribosomal RNA is filed under the name uncultured eukaryote. RNAcentral describes it as "partial 18S ribosomal RNA". It matches the Rfam family "Eukaryotic small subunit ribosomal RNA", at positions 1470 to 1796 of the family's 1831-position model. The record is from RNAcentral.
CCCUUAGAUGUUCUGGGCCGCACGCGCGCUACACUGAUGCAUUCAACGAGUCUAAAACCUGCUCUGAUAGGGGUGGGUAAUCUUUUGAAUGUGCAUCGUGAUUGGGAUAGAUGAUUGCAAUUUUUCAUCUUCAACGAGGAAUGCCUAGUAAACGCAAGUCAUCAGCUUGCAUUGAUUACGUCCCUGCCCUUUGUACACACCGCCCGUCGCUCCUACCGAUUGAAUGAUACGAUGAAUAUCAUGGAUUGAGGAUGCAAGUAGGUUAGCCUAUCUUCAUCUUCGAGAAGUGAAGUAAAUCUUAUCAUUUAGAGGAAGGAGAAGUCGUAACA